RNAcentral lists this transfer RNA (74 nucleotides) under Acidimicrobiaceae bacterium. RNAcentral describes it as "tRNA-Ala(ggc)". It matches the Rfam family "tRNA". Rfam says of the family: Transfer RNA (tRNA) molecules are approximately 80 nucleotides in length. Their secondary structure includes four short double-helical elements and three loops (D, anti-codon, and T loops). The record is from RNAcentral. Lineage: Bacteria; Bacillati; Actinomycetota; Acidimicrobiia; Acidimicrobiales; Acidimicrobiaceae.
GGGGCUAUAGCUCAGUUGGUAGAGCACUUCCAUGGCAUGGAAGGGGUCAGGGGUUCAAUUCCCCUUAGCUCCAC